Molecule: ribosomal RNA, 237 nt
Filed under: uncultured bacterium
Lineage: Bacteria
Description: partial 16S ribosomal RNA
Rfam family: Bacterial small subunit ribosomal RNA
Source: RNAcentral
UGAGUAACCUGCCCUUAACUCUGGGAUAAGCCUGGGAAACUGGGUAUAAUACCGGAUAUGACUCCUCAUCGCAUGGUGGGGAGUGGAAAGUCUUUUUUGUGGUUUUGGAUGGACUCGCGGCCUAUCAGCUUGUUGGUGAGGUAAUGGCUCACCAAGGCGACGACGGGUAACCNGCCUGAGAGGGUGACCGGCCACACUGGGACUGAGACACGGCCCAGACCUCCGUACGGGAGGCAG